CCUACGGGGGGCUGCAGUGGGGAAUAUUGGACAAUGGGGGCAACCCUGAUCCAGCCAUGCCGCGUGUGUGAAGAAGGCCCUCGGGUUGUAAAGCACUUUCAGUGAGGAAGAACGCCUGGUGGUUAAUACCCAUCAGGAAAGACAUCACUCACAGAAGAAGCACCGGCUAACUCCGUGCCAGCAGCCGCGGUAAUACGGAGGGUGCGAGCGUUAAUCGGAAUUACUGGGCGUAAAGCGCGCGUAGGUGGCUUGAUAAGCCGGUUGUGAAAGCCCCGGGCUCAACCUGGGAACGGCAUCCGGAACUGUCAAGCUAGAGUGCAGGAGAGGAAGGUAGAAUUCCCGGUGUAGCGGUGAAAUGCGUAGAGAUAGGGAGGAAUACCAGUGGCGAAGGCGGCCUUCUGGACUGACACUGACACUGAGGUGCGAAAGCGUGGGUAGCAAACAGGAUUAGAUACCCUUGUAGUC
Molecule: ribosomal RNA, 465 nt
Filed under: Vreelandella stevensii
Lineage: Bacteria; Pseudomonadati; Pseudomonadota; Gammaproteobacteria; Oceanospirillales; Halomonadaceae
Description: partial 16S ribosomal RNA
Rfam family: Bacterial small subunit ribosomal RNA
Source: RNAcentral